RNAcentral lists this ribosomal RNA (118 nucleotides) under Helianthus annuus (common sunflower). Lineage: Eukaryota; Viridiplantae; Streptophyta; Magnoliopsida; Asterales; Asteraceae. The record is from RNAcentral.
GGUUGCGAUCAUACCAGCACUAAUGCACCGGAUCCCAUCAGAACUCGCAGUUAAGCGUGCUUGGGCGAGAGUAGUACUAGGAUGGGUGACCCCCUGGGAAGUCCUCGUGUUGCAACCC